GGAAAACCUAGAUCGAGGCAUCCAAAGCCGCGACCCAAUCCCCGCCCCUCCUCUCGUCUCACCUCCUCCCCAAUCAGCGGAGGCCAGCGGCGCGCCGCCUCUCCCCCGAAUCCGCGGCGCCGGAGAAGGAGCAGCCAGCCCGAGCAGCUUGGGCGGCCCAUUCAGGUGGCGACAUCGGUGGCGGCGGGCGGAGACAGGCUGGCGCGGGGCGGAUCCUCGGCAGCGGCGAACGGAGGCGUCGGGCGCGGCCGGAGACGGUCCGGCGCGUGACGGAACCGCGGCGGCUUCGACUGGAGGCGCCGGGCCUCGGCCGCGGCGCGGAGGCCGGGACUGAGAUCCAGGCUCGCGCGCGUCCUGCUCGUCGACAAGGUGGACUACCUCCAGUGGAUCGGCACCGCCGCGGCCUUCUUCUUCGUCACCAUCCUCGUUGCAGUGACGCAGGUGACCUCCACCCUUUCUUUAGACGGAUCCGUAGUGACCCCUCCCUGAUCUGUCCAUUCCCGUCAAGAUAACUAAGAUCACAUCUACUUUGUGGGCUAGAGACGUUCUUUGGAUGGCUGCAGCCUGCAGACGCGCGCUGGAUCUGGAACAACCGAGUAUGUAACUCGCCAUGACUGGUUUGUUUGUUCUGUUCGAUUUGUUCCCUCACUGGUAGCUUGGGUCGAGGAGACAAACCAACAUCAUAUCUGACAGGAAAAUCAGAGGCAAGAACAUGAAGUGGCCAGCUGUAGGUCAUCGACCCCUUUUACAACUGGGCCGGAGGCUACAUGUCCUUUCCGGCGACCUCGCCAUCUCCAUCCCAUCCAUAGGCUUACAACAGCUCCAACAUGUCAUUUUUCUAUGCAACCGACUCUUUGGUUUAUGCUAGCUGGUCAUGGAUGUGUGAUGCUAUUCCGCUGGUGAGCAUGAAAGUAAAUCAUGAAGAUAUGAUUCACACUUGGAACACAGGUGCUCCCAUUGGUGAACACUCGUCCGAUCCCAUUAACAAAAGUCUCAUGUUUUAUCUAGAUAGGUCUAACAUUUGUGCUGCUGGCUCAUUACUUCAUGAGUAAACACUCCUGAUGUUUAUUGGAAAAUACUUCUUGGGGAAGAAAAGGCUCAACCGUUGAUAAU
This is a non-coding RNA of Lolium perenne, 1113 nucleotides long. The record is from RefSeq and is a predicted model, not a curated record. NCBI's taxonomy places the organism in Eukaryota, Viridiplantae, Streptophyta, Magnoliopsida, Poales, Poaceae.